Molecule: transfer RNA, 85 nt
Filed under: Fidelibacterota bacterium
Lineage: Bacteria; Pseudomonadati; Fidelibacterota
Description: tRNA-Leu
Rfam family: tRNA
About the family: Transfer RNA (tRNA) molecules are approximately 80 nucleotides in length. Their secondary structure includes four short double-helical elements and three loops (D, anti-codon, and T loops). Further hydrogen bonds mediate the characteristic L-shaped molecular structure. tRNAs have two regions of fundamental functional importance: the anti-codon, which is responsible for specific mRNA codon recognition, and the 3' end, to which the tRNAs corresponding amino acid is attached (by aminoacyl-tRNA synthetases). tRNAs cope with the degeneracy of the genetic code in two manners: having more than one tRNA (with a specific anti-codon) for a particular amino acid; and 'wobble' base-pairing, i.e. permitting non-standard base-pairing at the 3rd anti-codon position.
Source: RNAcentral
GCCCGGGUGGUGGAAUUGGUAGACACUAUGGACUUAAAAUCCAUUGGCCAAUGCGGCCGUGCCGGUUCGAGUCCGGCCCCGGGUA